This 229-nucleotide long non-coding RNA is filed under the name Sus scrofa (pig). Its description in RNAcentral is "lncRNA (ENSSSCG00015012348.1, ENSSSCG00030054607.1)". The record is from RNAcentral. Lineage: Eukaryota; Metazoa; Chordata; Mammalia; Artiodactyla; Suidae.
UUAGGCCCAGAUUUUUGUGAAAAUUAAACAAGAUGAUCUAUAUAAAUCAUGUAGUAAAGUGUCCAGCAUGCAGUAAAUUUUGAUAAACUGUAGGUAUUAUAUCAGCAGGGCCUGGGCUGACAAGGAGUUUUUGUUUUAUUCUUAGGUGGUGUUUCUCUGAGAUGAAAUACAUAAAACCUUUUAUUUCAGCUGGCUGCUAUAUAAUGUGAUGUGCAUGCAGAGAACGUCA